Long non-coding RNA from Mauremys mutica (yellowpond turtle), 601 nucleotides. RefSeq lists it as uncharacterized. The transcript is spliced from 2 exons. NCBI's taxonomy places the organism in Eukaryota, Metazoa, Chordata, Testudines, Geoemydidae. The record is from RefSeq and is a predicted model, not a curated record.
GAACAGUACAUAACUAACAUUCAAAUUAGGUGGAGCCGUUGGGCUCUUAGCAAGUUGUCAGUGUGGUUCCAAGUCACAAUGUUUGGGCACCCUUAAGAAAGAUAAUGGAGAACACUUUUGCCAAGAGGUCAAGAACCAGUUACCAAGAGGAAUCAGAAGAGAAUAUCUUCCUUCUCUUCCCCUACUACUGCAUCACACAAUGAGUUUGGUGCAUUAUGUAUGUGAGGAAGGGUGUUUGGUUUUCUUGAGAAGAUCAGAUAUUGGACAACCAGAGACAGGACACACAACUUGGACACUUGGUCUGAUCUGAUAUGGUGAAUCUUAAGAUAGAAAUCUGAAGUGGGAAAAUAUUUGUUUCUAGAGGUUCUCUCUCCUAAAAGGAAAUAAGUUCCUUCACAGGCAUGAAAAACUAAUUAACACAGAAAUCUCAUAACCAUUCUCACCUAAAACAUACUUUUAAAGUAGAUGGCAAUGAUUUUAUUGUAUUUUUGUAUUGCCACUUUGUAUGGUAACGUGGUUUGUUUGGUAAUGAAAUAAGCAGCCUAUUAUUGAACAGAAGUAUUUUACCACAGGUUUUGUGUAUUAAAAUGUUUGAAUUACA